AUGGCUGCCGCCUCAUCUGGCCGUGCAGAGGUCGACACCUCUCGCGCGUUCCGGUCUGUCAAGGAGGCGGUCGCUGUGUUCGGUGAGCGCAUUCUCGCAACGGAAGCACAGUUCAGGCCGGGUGCACAUGCCAACCAUCGUGUUGUUAGGGAGAGGAGUUCUUGGCGAGACUCUGUCGCCAUUGCUUCCUCAAAAGAGAAGCUUGAGGGGAGUUCUGACCUCAUCAGGGGAAGCCACUCCACCAGUCCAAACGCCAUCGCCGUUGCCAUUGCCAAGCACGAGGGAAAUAGCAGUGAGCCUGCUAGAAUUGUAAUGCCAGUGUCUAAUGCCCAGCCAAUGUGCCUGGUCCCGUUGUCUCCACGGUUCCAGGCAUCAUCGUCCCCGUCUCUAGCCCGUGGCGACGGCUACGACAAGCAGGACGGGAAGGAAGCCAAUCUCAUGAUCAUGAGCUCCAUCAAGAAGGUGGAGGAAGAGGCGGCCAAGACAAGGCUGGAGGCGGUGCAGGUCAAGAGGAGGCUGGCCGACCUGGAGCUAGCCAUGGCGAACCUCAAAGCGAAGCUCCACCGUGCCCUCUCGAGGCUGGCAUACAUGGAGGCUGACAAGGCGGCGGCCGCAAGGGCCAACAUCCAGCAGAGGGAUAUCAACACGUCGGCGCUGACGGUCUGGGCCGAGGCCAAGACCGAGCGGCACCCAUUGCGACACCUGCUGAGCCUCGACGAUGCCGACGAGGAGGUGAAGCAUGGCCAGGAAAGGGAGAUGACGACGACAACGACGAAGAGGAAGAUGCAGAAGCAGAAGCCAAUCAUGCCCCUUGUUGUUCCGCUCAUCAGUGAGGUGCUUUUCUCCAAGAAGAAGAGGAUGAACGACAAGGAGAGCUUGUACCUGAAGGAGCUCUACAGCUUGCUAAGGCUGUCUUGA
This 918-nucleotide ribosomal RNA is filed under the name Triticum aestivum (bread wheat). RNAcentral's name for it is "partial small subunit ribosomal RNA". The record is from RNAcentral. Lineage: Eukaryota; Viridiplantae; Streptophyta; Magnoliopsida; Poales; Poaceae.